GGGUCAGUAGGUUGGUCGUGCCACCGGUACGUACUGGUCUCACUGAUUCCUCCUUCCUGAAGAACCGUAAUGCCAUUAAUUUGGUGUUGCGGGGAAACAGGACUGUUACUUUGAAAAAAUUAGAGUGUUUAAAGCAAGCUAACGCUUGAAUACAUUAGCAUGGAAUAAUGAAAUAGGACGAUCGAUCCUAUUUUGUUGGUUUCUAGGAUUGACGUAAUGACUGAUAGGAAUAGUUGGG
This 238-nucleotide ribosomal RNA is filed under the name Glomeromycotina sp. RNAcentral describes it as "partial small subunit ribosomal RNA". The stretch from base 40 to 238 matches the Rfam family "Eukaryotic small subunit ribosomal RNA", at positions 686 to 886 of the family's 1831-position model. The record is from RNAcentral. Lineage: Eukaryota; Fungi; Glomeromycota.